Molecule: long non-coding RNA, 585 nt
Organism: Cloeon dipterum
Lineage: Eukaryota; Metazoa; Arthropoda; Insecta; Ephemeroptera; Baetidae
Exons: 4
Source: RefSeq, a predicted model, not a curated record
UACUCGGUUCUAGGAAGUUGAUAGUCAUGCCUGGUCGAGAGUGCUUUUAAGAUUUUAACUAUCGAAAGAGCAGUGGAAGAAUGCAAGACGAAAUAUCCCCAUUGAAGCCCGAACAGCUGCAGUCAAAUGAGCAUUUUUGUAGAGUAAAAAAUGAUGGCACUCAGAUCGACAAAAAUGAAACAGAAAAUACUUCCGCAUUCGAUUUAAAUCACAUACUAUUUCAAAUUUCGAUGUUAAAUGUGAUUCCGAUUUAUUUAACGGCGAUAUUUACUGACUGCGAUAUAACAAAAAUGAUAAUUUCGUCGUUGCCACUGCUAUCUUCAAUAUUUGUGUUCAGAGUUUGGGCUUUUAUUUCGGGAAGUACUAUUUCUGGAGCUGCUGUACUUGUGGUGUUUUUUAUGCUGCGAUCGCAAUCUACCUGCUCAUUCAGUUUUACCGGGUUAUCCUGGGAAUGGAAGAUCGUAGCAGCGUAUGCUCUAUGCUCCUUCAUCUUCGGCAUAUUUUUGCAUCUGUACAGAAAAGAUUGCUUCAAAUACAUUCCUUAUAUGUGUUUGUAAUCCCAAAAUAAAUGAAAGUCAAAAUUAA